AUGGAACCCUUCAGUUCGGCUGGCUGGAACACAGGUGCUGCAUGGCUGUCGUCAGCUCGUGUCGUGAGAUGUUGGGUUAAGUCCCGCAACGAGCGCAACCCUCGCCCUUAGUUGCCAUCAUUUAGUUGGGCACUCUAGGGGGACUGCCGGUGAUAAGCCGCGAGGAAGGUGGGGAUGACGUCAAGUCCUCAUGGCCCUUACGGGUUGGGCUACACACGU
RNAcentral lists this ribosomal RNA (219 nucleotides) under uncultured bacterium. RNAcentral describes it as "partial 16S ribosomal RNA". It matches the Rfam family "Bacterial small subunit ribosomal RNA", at positions 1005 to 1223 of the family's 1533-position model. The record is from RNAcentral.